UACGAAGGGGGCUAGCGUUGCUCGGAAUCACUGGGCGUAAAGGGUGCGUAGGCGGGUCUUUAAGUCAGGGGUGAAAUCCUGGAGCUCAACUCCAGAACUGCCUUUGAUACUGAGGAUCUUGAGUACGGGAGAGGUGAGUGGAACUGCGAGUGUAGAGGUGAAAUUCGUAGAUAUUCGGAAGAACACCAGUGGCGAAGGCGACUCACUGGACAUGUAUUGACGCUGAGGUGCGAAAGCGUGGGGAGCAAACAGG
RNAcentral lists this ribosomal RNA (253 nucleotides) under uncultured bacterium. RNAcentral's name for it is "partial 16S ribosomal RNA". It matches the Rfam family "Bacterial small subunit ribosomal RNA", at positions 524 to 776 of the family's 1533-position model. The record is from RNAcentral.